UGUAAAACAAAUCGGAACAGUUAACAUCUCCAUUACAACACAAUCACAAUGACUCCUGCAACAUCACAAAUAUUUACACGUAAAGUGUUAUUAAUUCUAUUCGUGUGUGUAUUAACACCUGCAGUAUCCUCAAAAGAAUAUUUUUGUUUAAUGAUACCGAGUUGAAUUGGUUUGCUGCUUUCCAUGCUUGUCAUUUGAAAAACAUGACAUUAGCAACAAUAAAUUCCGAAGCCGAACAAAUUGAUAUUGGAAACUUAAUUGGUAGUUGGAUAUCAACUAAGAACGUUUAUUGGACUUCGGGAACUGAUCAAGCCAAAGAAGGAGAGUUUGUUUGGAUGAGCACAGGACAACCAAUUAGAUACAAGAAUUGGUAUUAUGGGGAACCCAAUAACCAUGGAUCCCAGCAUUGUCUUACUAUUUCUAACAUCAAUAGUCAUCAGUGGGAUGACGACCAGUGUUCAAACAAGUAUUUUUACAUUUGUGAGGAGAAAACUGAGUGUUCAAGGGAGAUUGUGUUUGACUUACUUAUAUCCUAGGGUUAGGUUACAAUAACAAGUAAAAGUAGUGGAUUACACUAGGUAUUAAAAAGGUACAA
Molecule: long non-coding RNA, 595 nt
Organism: Dalotia coriaria
Lineage: Eukaryota; Metazoa; Arthropoda; Insecta; Coleoptera; Staphylinidae
Exons: 2
Source: RefSeq, a predicted model, not a curated record